Molecule: transfer RNA, 60 nt
Filed under: Tamandua tetradactyla (southern tamandua)
Lineage: Eukaryota; Metazoa; Chordata; Mammalia; Pilosa; Myrmecophagidae
Description: transfer RNA-Ser (AGY)
Source: RNAcentral
GAGAAAGAUCAAUGCAAGAACUGCUAACUCCUGCACCCAUUCAUAAAAAAUGGCUUUCUU